UACUGCUUUUGGAUGUUACAG
RNAcentral lists this non-coding RNA (21 nucleotides) under Caenorhabditis elegans. Lineage: Eukaryota; Metazoa; Nematoda; Chromadorea; Rhabditida; Rhabditidae. The record is from RNAcentral.